AUGAUUGAGCGCUCCAGAAAUCAAGAGUACCAGGGAUCAAAUUUGAGACAGUUCAGCACCGCUUCUUACUUCGCUUUCUCUACUUUGACAUUUUCACAUGCUCAGACUAUUAGAAGCCCCUUGUCAAAACUAUGUGCAGUGGUAUGGUGCUUUGUGGUGCUGAUUGUAGUGCAGAGUUACACAGCAAGCUUGUCAGCCAUACUAACCGCAAAGAGCCGCCGGCCUUCAGUGACAGAUCUGGACCAGCUCCAGCUCAGGAAUGGCUCUGUUGGACACCAAGAGGGGUCAUUUCUGCGGUCCAUCUUGAUAAAAAAUUAUUAUUUCGACAAAGAUAGGCUACAGAGCUACAUAAAGAAAGAGGACUAUGCUGAUGCUUUGAGAAAUGGAUCGGUAUCAGCUAUCGUUGAUGAGCUUCCCUUCUUGACAUCGUUCCUCUCUGAUCCUCGGAAUAAGGAAGAGUUUAGGAUGGUUAAUCUCAUGUACAUGACUCCUGGAUUUGGUUUUGCAUUCUGUGUAGGUUCGCCGCUGGUGCAUGAUCUUUCUACUGCCAUCUUGAAAAUAACUGGAGGCGAUGAGGGAUUGAGGAUUCAACGAAAAUGGUUAGGCGCAGAUCCACUGUCGUCGUCGGCCAGUUACGGCAGCCCCGACCCCAGUUCCACACAAAUCAAUUUGCCAUCACCGGAGUUAUCUCAACUCUCAUGUUGCUGGUAA
Molecule: ribosomal RNA, 711 nt
Filed under: Triticum aestivum (bread wheat)
Lineage: Eukaryota; Viridiplantae; Streptophyta; Magnoliopsida; Poales; Poaceae
Description: partial small subunit ribosomal RNA
Source: RNAcentral